This 536-nucleotide long non-coding RNA is filed under the name Citrus sinensis (sweet orange). Its description in RNAcentral is "long non-coding RNA (CSIN_LNC004410)". The record is from RNAcentral. Lineage: Eukaryota; Viridiplantae; Streptophyta; Magnoliopsida; Sapindales; Rutaceae.
UUUUUUUGUUUGUUUUUUUUAACAAAGAAAAGAAAAGAGAAAAGAGAAAAACAACACACAUAUUUAAAACAUACGUCAAUUAUCCCCACCCCACAAUCUAAUCUAAACAUUAUCUUAACAGUUUAUAAUUUUAUAGAUAUGCAAAAAGAAAAAAAAUAAAUAAAAAUAAAAGAGAAUAAUAAAAGAAGAAGAAGAGGAGAUCUCACCUGAACUUGAUGCAGAAGCUUAAAAGUAAGUAACAAAGAUGAAGAAAAAGUCAAUUUUUUUUUUUAACAACACCCUUAAGAUUAAGAAGAUGCGUUUCUAGAGAGACUACAUUCUCUAUAUCCUGCCAUCUUCGACUCAAAUUUGUCCUAAGUGUAGAAGACAUCACAUGAACACUACAACAGAAAAUAUUUACAAACGGAGAAUUAAAUCUAAAUCGCACUUUUUAUUACUGCUACUGUUACCGUUACCGUCAUUAGUUGACCAAUUCAGUGCAACAGUCUGUGGAUUUGGCUCUGGUGUAUAAGCUUGCAAAAGAUCAAGUAACUCAU